Molecule: ribosomal RNA, 386 nt
Filed under: uncultured bacterium
Lineage: Bacteria
Description: bacterial SSU rRNA
Rfam family: Bacterial small subunit ribosomal RNA
Source: RNAcentral
GAUGAACGCUGGCGGCGUGCCUAACACAUGCAAGUCGAGCGAUUCUCUUCGGAGAAGAGCGGCGGACGGGUGAGUAACGCGUGGGUAACCUGCCCUGUACACACGGAUAACAUACCGAAAGGUAUGCUAAUACGAGAUAAUAUGCUUUUAUCGCAUGGUAGAAGUAUCAAAGCUCCGGCGGUACAGGAUGGACCCGCGUCUGAUUAGCUAGUUGGUAAGGUAACGGCUUACCAAGGCGACGAUCAGUAGCCGACCUGAGAGGGUGAUCGGCCACAUUGGAACUGAGACACGGUCCAAACUCCUACGGGAGGCAGCAGUGGGGAAUAUUGCACAAUGGGCGAAAGACCUGAUGCAGCAACGCCGCGUGAGCGAUGAAGGCCUCGGUC